UUCAUUUCUCUGAGUCUUACUGCGCUUCGUUCCUGAAACUCCUUAGGGUUUCGAAUGGCCCUGUUAUGGCGGUGUCUUCCUCCUUUACCUCCACUUCAAUCCCACACGCUUUCUUUUCGGAAACUAUCUGUGUCGGAACCCCUACUUUCCAGGAGAAGCCCCCUGAAGCUCUCCCCGGCGUCCAAAUUUUCCUCAUUCAGUCCUUGGUACUCAUCUCCCGCUAGCUUUCACUGUUGCCUGAGCUCGAGUUCUUCGAUUGAGUGUGAUAAAACCAGAAUCUUCAUAAAAGGGUUGCCGCUAACAACAUCUGAGAGAAUUUUGACCAAGGCAUUUUCACGGUUUGGAGAAGUUAGUAAAGUCAGAAUCAUUACAGAUAAAAAAUAUCGACAAUCUCUGGGAUUUGCAUAUCUUUGGUUUACUACUGAAGAGUCUGCUCAAUUGGCUAUUGAAGAGAUGAAUGGAAAGUUUUUUGAUGGUAGGUUCAUCUAUGUUACAAUUGCUAGGCCUGGACCUCCCAAAAACCAGGGCAUGGUGAAUGUUUAUGCAGAAUUCAACCGAAUAGCAUGGAUGCAACGACUUUGAAUGAAUUGGGAGCAAUCAUUCAAUUUUGUUUGACUAGAGACGUGUUGUAUCACGUCGUGGAUGAGAAUUCUCCGGCAUUAGUUUAUCGAAAACGAGAAUGCCGAUAUAUGUCUAAGGGUUCAUCAAAAUCUGCAAGUAUAGUGGAGGAAGACUCAGAAUGUAGUGAUGGAGAUAUGCUACAUGUUUCAUCGGGUUCGAAGUGCCUCAUGGGUAAUUCUUGGAUCUUAGUCACCAGGUUUUUUUAUCCGAGAAAAUAGUUUGACAUCUACAGGUGAUCCAGUUAGGCGAGCAGAUCGGGCUCGCAGAUAAAGAGGAUGAUUACACUACCCUUUUUGUAGGGUAAGUGUAUACAAGAGAUGGUAUUUUUGAGUAAAUGAUACUGGGGUUAUGUGUAUAUAUGUAUGUAUGGCUUGGGUAGAUUUACUGAAUUCUGGUAUUAUAAAUGUGGAUGUACAGUUUAUGUAUUCCGCUGCAUAGGUAUGUACAUGAUCAGGGAUUCCUCAGUGCUCACUUGGGGUCUGAGAUGUUAUAAUACAAGAGUAUCAGAGUAAUUUUAUUAUAAAAAAAUGGUAUAGAUUUUCGGGUUGUUA
Malania oleifera is the source of this 1172-nucleotide RNA transcript. It is a transcript of the gene named organelle RRM domain-containing protein 1, chloroplastic, with no coding region annotated. The transcript is spliced from 6 exons. NCBI's taxonomy places the organism in Eukaryota, Viridiplantae, Streptophyta, Magnoliopsida, Santalales, Ximeniaceae. The record is from RefSeq and is a predicted model, not a curated record.